UGCAGAAUCCCGUGAACCAUCGAGUCUUUGAACGCAAGUUGCGCCCGAUGCCAAUAGGUUGAGGGCACGUCUGCCUGGGUGUCACAUAUCGAAUCCCCUUGCCAAUUUCCUAUUGAAUAGGUAUUGUGUGCAGGGUGAAUAUGUUGGCCUCCCGUGAGCUUUGUCUCGUGGUUGGUUGAAAAUUGAGACCUUGGUAGGGUGUGCCAUGAUAGAUGGUGGAUGUGUGACCCACGAGACCAAAUCAUGUGCAGCUCUAUUGAAUGUGGACUCUUUUACCCACAUGUGUUUUAUAACGCUCGUGAUGAGACCUCAGGUCAGGCGGGGCUACCCGCUGAAUUUAAGCAUAUCAAUAAGCGGAGGAAAAGAAACUAACAAGGAUUCCCUUAGUAACGGCGAGCGAACCGGGAUAAGCCCACCAUGAGAAUCGGUCGCCCUCGGCGUUCGA
RNAcentral lists this ribosomal RNA (445 nucleotides) under Medicago polymorpha. RNAcentral's name for it is "eukaryotic LSU rRNA". The stretch from base 305 to 445 matches the Rfam family "Eukaryotic large subunit ribosomal RNA", at positions 1 to 141 of the family's 3401-position model. Lineage: Eukaryota; Viridiplantae; Streptophyta; Magnoliopsida; Fabales; Fabaceae. The record is from RNAcentral.